RNAcentral lists this ribosomal RNA (460 nucleotides) under uncultured bacterium. Its description in RNAcentral is "partial 16S ribosomal RNA". It matches the Rfam family "Bacterial small subunit ribosomal RNA", at positions 338 to 795 of the family's 1533-position model. The record is from RNAcentral.
CCUACGGGGUGCAGCAGUGAGGAAUAUUGGUCAAUGGGCUUACGCCUGAACCAGCCAAGUCGCGUGAGGGAAGACUGCCCUAUGGGUUGUAAACCUCUUUUGUCAGGGAGCAACGCCGGCUACGUGUAGCCGGACUGAGAGUACCUGAAGAAAAAGCAUCGGCUAACUCCGUGCCAGCAGACGCGGAAAUACGGAGGAUGCGAGCGUUAUCCGGAUUUAUUGGGGUUAAAGGGUGCGUAGGCGGAAUGCCAAGUCAGCGGUAAAAGCGCGGGGCUCAACCUCGAUCCGCCGUUGAAACGGGCGUUCUUGAGUGGGCGAGAAGUAUGCGGAAUGCGUGGUGUAGCGGUGAAAUGCAUAGAUAUCACGCAGAACUCCGAUUGCGAAGGCAGCAUACCGGCGCCCAACUGACGCUGAAGCACGAAAGCGUGGGUAUCGAACAGGAUUAGAUACCCCUGUAGUC